GUGCCGGAGAUAGAUCGGUGGCUAGAGAAGGAGAAGGAGCACCGGUGGGAGGUGCCGGUGGGCUUGAAAGUAAAGGAGAAGGAGCAACCGUCGGAGUCACACUAGGAGUGGGAGAUGAAACGGGGACAGGAGCAGGGGGGGAAGCGAGUGGAGCAGGUGGUGGUGAGGCGACAGGAGGAGGAGUAGCUGGUGGCGGUGAUGCAACAGGAGGAGGAGUAGCAGGAGGUGGUGAUGCAACAGGAGGAGGGGUAGCCGGUGGUGGUGAAGCAACAGGAGGAGGAGUAGUUGGUGGUGGUGAGGCAACGGUGGGAGGUGCGGCUACAGGGGGAGGAGUGGAGGUUGGUGGAGAUGCGACUUGAGGUGGGGGAGCGGUGGUGGUAGGAG
This 384-nucleotide long non-coding RNA is filed under the name Lactuca sativa (garden lettuce). Its description in RNAcentral is "long non-coding RNA (LSAT_LNC009846)". Lineage: Eukaryota; Viridiplantae; Streptophyta; Magnoliopsida; Asterales; Asteraceae. The record is from RNAcentral.